Molecule: ribosomal RNA, 505 nt
Filed under: uncultured bacterium
Lineage: Bacteria
Description: partial 16S ribosomal RNA
Rfam family: Bacterial small subunit ribosomal RNA
Source: RNAcentral
GACGAACGCUGGCGGCGUGCCUAAUACAUGCAAGUAGAACGCACAGUUUAUACCGUAGCUUGCUACACCAUAGACUGUGAGUUGCGAACGGGUGAGUAACGCGUAGGUAACCUGCCUGGUAGCGGGGGAUAACUAUUGGAAACGAUAGCUAAUACCGCAUAAUAUUAAUUAUUGCAUGAUAAUUAAUUGAAAGGUGCAAUUGCACCACUACCAGAUGGACCUGCGUUGUAUUAGCUAGUAGGUGAGGUAACGGCUCACCUAGGCGACGAUACAUAGCCGACCUGAGAGGGUGAGCGGCCACACUGGGACUGAGACACGGCCCAGACUCCUACGGGAGGCAGCAGUAGGGAAUCUUCGGCAAUGGACGAAAGGCUGACCGAGCAACGCCGCGUGAGUGAAGAAGGUUUUCGGAUCGUAAAGCUCUGUUGUAAGAGAAGAACGGGUGUGAGAGUGGAAAGUUCACACUGUGACGGUAGCUUACCAGAAAGGGACGGCUAACUACGUG